Molecule: long non-coding RNA, 931 nt
Organism: Schistocerca gregaria
Lineage: Eukaryota; Metazoa; Arthropoda; Insecta; Orthoptera; Acrididae
Exons: 4
Source: RefSeq, a predicted model, not a curated record
GGGGUUGAGGAGAGUCGCAUCUCCAGUCCCGGUCCAGUUGUUCUGCGGGAGACCAACCCGCUGCGCGUCCCGUACUUCUCUUGGUCAGUUACCGUAGCAGCUGAAAGAAAGAAAAUUGAAGAGUGAAAUCGCACCUGUUGACGGUAAUGAUGUAGAAGUUGACUUUUAAGUGUCGCAAUAUGACUCAUGUUAAUAUUAACUAAUUAAGGCGACAAAAACGUGGUCGGAGGUUGCAGACUGUCUACGCGGAGGGAAAGGCGGCCGUCGGCAGGGCCUGGGAGUUUUUUUGCCUUGGGACGGGAGCGGCCCAGCCGGCAGACAAAUGACGGCGCGAGACGGCCCACCGCCCGCCAAGAUGGCCGCCGCGCCUGCCUACGUUCCCGCAGCGCGCAAUGGCCGCAGGUAAUGAAACGCUACCACGGCGAGACUGGCGAGAGAGAUGAAGAUGGGCGCAAGGGACAACAAGGGUUCGCAGACACACAGACGGAGCCGCACGGACCAAGUUUUGAACGCAGACAGAGGCGUCAUGGCGCCAACACAUGGAUUUUUCAUCUCCAGAAGAGCGACGCCAGAUAAUGACGCAGUGAUCGACGCUAAACUCCUCCGACCAAUGAAGUUUCCGCAACGGCCACCAGCAGCGCUGCGAGACAUUUGCGGCGUCUCCUAGCGGGGUGCUGCAUCACUCACCAAUCAGAAGCGAGCGUCGGAGUGUAACUACUUGUUGCGUUCAGAUCCGCUCUGGCAUUAAAGACCACGCGUUCAAGCCAGCAAGCCGUUGUUUCCAGGAUAGAAAACUUCGCAAACGGCGGCCAAUUCCUCGUUCUACAUGCCUAAAUACACGACUCCACUUUCCCGAUCUUUCGCAAGUUAGUGUUGCUAAGGAUGAUACGAACUGGAGCAUAGGCAAAUAAAUAACGUCAUUUAGUGGAAA